ACCUGGGUGGCUCAGUGGUUGAGUGUCUGCCUUUAGCUCAGAUCGUGAUCCCCAGGUU
RNAcentral lists this transfer RNA (58 nucleotides) under Canis lupus familiaris (dog). RNAcentral also lists the same sequence under 1 other name. Lineage: Eukaryota; Metazoa; Chordata; Mammalia; Carnivora; Canidae. The record is from Rfam by way of RNAcentral.